CCCAAAUCUGCUCAAGAUAAGUGAAGGCUGCUGAAAAAUGCCCAAGUUUACAGUUUAUGUUGUUUUCACUUUACUAUCUGAAGUUCUACUUUUAUAUUAUAGGGAAGGGCUAACAUUCCUCACAAAGUGACAAACACUUUCUCAGAUGCCACAGAUCAACAUCAUACAGAAGCACAGAGGACCUUCUGCACUUGUCUGGAGCAGCUCCUAGACUAAGUAUAUACUUCAAAUAUUAAUGGAGAAAAGAAACAAAAUCUGCACAAUACAGUUGAAAAACCACAAGGAGAACAAAACUUGAAUCCAGCAAAGAGGUCUGAAACUCCCUGUCUAUCUCCCAGCUUGAGUUCUGCAACCCAAAGAAGGAGGAUUCCUGGUAGUCACAGGGAAGAAAUGAUCAGACUUCUCAGCAGAUAUGAGUCAUCACAGGAUUUCAGGCUCCAGCACACUGCCAGUUUUAACGGUCAUUUCAAAAUGCCUAACAAGAAGAGAAAUUGUGUAAGUUGAAUCCAUUUUUGUGAAAAUUUUAAAGAGAAUAAGUGAUUUGCUUAUGAUAAAUUAAGUUCCUAGGGCUCUUC
This 575-nucleotide long non-coding RNA is filed under the name Coturnix japonica (Japanese quail). Its description in RNAcentral is "lncRNA (ENSCJPG00005018785.1)". Lineage: Eukaryota; Metazoa; Chordata; Aves; Galliformes; Phasianidae. The record is from RNAcentral.